UACAGAGGGUGCAAGCGUUGUUCGGAAUUACUGGGCGUAAAGCGCGUGUAGGCGGCGGCGUAAGUCGGAUGUGAAAUCCCUCGGCUCAACCGAGGAAGUGCAUCCGAUACUGCGUUGCUUGAGUGUCGGAGGGGGUGGCGGAAUUCCCGGUGUAGAGGUGAAAUUCGUAGAUAUCGGGAGGAACACCUGUGGCGAAGGCGGCCACCUGGACGACAACUGACGCUGAGACGCGAAAGCGUGGGUAGCAAACAGG
Molecule: ribosomal RNA, 253 nt
Filed under: bacterium
Lineage: Bacteria
Also listed under: 1 other name
Description: partial 16S ribosomal RNA
Rfam family: Bacterial small subunit ribosomal RNA
Source: RNAcentral